AGAACGAACGCUGGCGGCAGGCCUAACACAUGCAAGUCGAACGAGAAGCCACCUUCGGGUGGUGGACAGUGGCAGACGGGUGAGUAACGCGUGGGAACGUGCCUUUCGGUUCGGGAUAACCCAGGGAAACUUGGGCUAAUACCGGAUACGCCCUUCGGGGGAAAGAUUCAUUGCCGAAAGAUCGGCCCGCGUCGGAUUAGCUAGUUGGUGGGGUAAAAGCCUACCAAGGCGACGAUCCGUAGCUGGUCUGAGAGGAUGACCAGCCACACUGGGACUGAGACACGGCCCAGACUCCUACGGGAGGCAGCAGUGGGGAAUAUUGGACAAUGGCGCAAGCCUGAUCCAGCCAUGCCGCGUGGGUGAAGAAGGCCUUAGGGUUGUAAACCCCUUUCAGCGGGGAAGAUAAUGACGGUACCCGCAGAAGAAGCCCCGGCUAACUUCGUGCCAGCAGCCGC
Molecule: ribosomal RNA, 455 nt
Filed under: uncultured bacterium
Lineage: Bacteria
Description: SSU rRNA
Rfam family: Bacterial small subunit ribosomal RNA
Source: RNAcentral